GACGAACGCUGGCGGCGUGCUUAACACAUGCAAGUCGAACGGAAAGGCCCCUUUGGGGGUACUCGAGUGGCGAACGGGUGAGUAACACGUGAGUAACCUGCCCUUGACUUCGGGAUAACUUCAGGAAACUGGGGCUAAUACCGGAUAGGAAUCCUUGCUGCCUGGUGGGGGUCGGAAAGCUUCGUCGGUUUUGGAUGGACUCGCGGCUUAUCAGCCUGUUGGUGGGGUAGUGGCUUACCAAGGCUUUGACGGGUAGCCGGCCUGAGAGGGCGACCGGCCACAUUGGGACUGGGAUCCGGCCCAGACUCCUACGGGGGGCAGCAGUUGGGAAUAUUGCACCAUGGGCGGAAGCCUGAUGCAGCAACGCCGCGGGCGGGAUGACGGCCUUCGGGUUGUAAACCGCUUUCAGCAGGGGCGAAGCUUGUGGUGACGGUACCUGCAGAAGAAGCACCGGCUAACUACGUG
This 465-nucleotide ribosomal RNA is filed under the name uncultured bacterium. RNAcentral describes it as "partial 16S ribosomal RNA". It matches the Rfam family "Bacterial small subunit ribosomal RNA", at positions 28 to 507 of the family's 1533-position model. The record is from RNAcentral.